UUUCCAUUUCUUGGAGUUCAUUUUGAUUACUAUUUAUUAUGAUCAUAUACACAUAGCUACUGAGUCUUUGUGAUUCUCUCUCACUAAGAAAAUCCUUUGUUCU
Dipodomys ordii (Ord's kangaroo rat) is the source of this 103-nucleotide long non-coding RNA. RefSeq lists it as uncharacterized. The record is from RefSeq and is a predicted model, not a curated record. The transcript has 3 exons. NCBI's taxonomy places the organism in Eukaryota, Metazoa, Chordata, Mammalia, Rodentia, Heteromyidae.